UUACCUUAAAAAGAAGAGUAUUCCGACUGGCAGGGUGGGGAUAUUCUUGAAGAAAACUUUCAUUGUUUUCUACGCUCAAAGCUUCUUAAAACUCUAAAGAAAUAAGCUCAAUAUUAUAGAAGAAGAAUUCUCUGAUUCUUGUGUGAUUUUCAAUUUUAACUAAGCAUCCUAUUUUGAAUUUAAAAAAUCACGUGUGCACAGUGACAAUUCGGC
Molecule: long non-coding RNA, 213 nt
Filed under: Panax ginseng (ginseng)
Lineage: Eukaryota; Viridiplantae; Streptophyta; Magnoliopsida; Apiales; Araliaceae
Description: long non-coding RNA (PGIN_LNC013386)
Source: RNAcentral